GGGUCCGUAGCUGAGAUGGAUUAGCACCCGACUCUUAAUCGGGGGACGUGGGAUCGUUACCUACCGGGCCUAC
RNAcentral lists this transfer RNA (73 nucleotides) under Mycobacterium phage Bonray. RNAcentral describes it as "tRNA-Lys". It matches the Rfam family "tRNA". From Rfam's summary of the family: Transfer RNA (tRNA) molecules are approximately 80 nucleotides in length. Their secondary structure includes four short double-helical elements and three loops (D, anti-codon, and T loops). The record is from RNAcentral. Lineage: Duplodnaviria; Heunggongvirae; Uroviricota; Caudoviricetes.